This 253-nucleotide ribosomal RNA is filed under the name uncultured bacterium. RNAcentral's name for it is "partial 16S ribosomal RNA". It matches the Rfam family "Bacterial small subunit ribosomal RNA", at positions 57 to 305 of the family's 1533-position model. The record is from RNAcentral.
GCAAGUCGAGGGGUAACAGGAGAAAGCUUGCUUUUUUGCUGACGACCGGCGCACGGGUGCGUAACGCGUAUACAAUCUACCUUGUACUGAGGGAUAGCCUUUGGAAACGAAGAUUAAUACUUCAUGGUCUAUUUGAAUGGCAUCAUUUAAAUAGUAAAGAUUACGGUACAAGAUGAGUAUGCGUCCUAUUAGUUUGUUGGUGUGGUAACGGCACACCAAGACUACGAUAGGUAGGGGUCCUGAGAGGGAGAUC